UAUUCAUUAACUCAGUGCCUUUAAACUAUAAAGCAGUGUGCUUUAGUUCAAUAUACAGUGACUACCUAAGAAGAUCAUCUUUAUUCAGUUCUGAUCGAGAUCGUUCGGAAGUGACACCGCACAUAAUGAAGUCAAUCGUUUUGCUUGUUUUAUGUUUUGCCUGUCUCGCACUGAUAAAAACUGAAGCAAAAGCAAUAAGUUCAUCUUUGAUUGCGAAUUCUGAUGGAUUUUGGAAUGAUAUGGAGGACAAAAAUAGAGAUAAAAGAAGUCCUGCUGCAAGCCAGGCGAAAACAAAUCUUGAUGCAAUAGGUGAUGGUACUGCAAUUUUUGCAGCGACACAAGGACUGAUAACUGUAGCUGUUCCGAACCCAAUCACUGCUGCAGCUGCCGGCGGUGCUGGUCUAAUUUCUAUAAUUACCAAAACUAUUGCGGCUAGAAUUGAUUAAACAAAAGCUAUAAUGAGACAUGUUCUUUCAGCUUCAGUCGUCUUAAGUACAUAAAUAUUGCUCGAAUUCACAGUAACUAUAUUUUUAGAUAUUUGAAUAAAGUUAAUACUUC
Bradysia coprophila is the source of this 558-nucleotide long non-coding RNA. RefSeq lists it as uncharacterized. The record is from RefSeq and is a predicted model, not a curated record. NCBI's taxonomy places the organism in Eukaryota, Metazoa, Arthropoda, Insecta, Diptera, Sciaridae.